AAAUUGAAGAGUUUGAUCAUGGCUCAGAUUGAACGCUGGGGGCAGGCCUAACACAUGCAAGUCGAACGGUAACAGGAAGCAGCUUGCUGCUUUGCUGACGAGUGGCGGACGGGUGAGUAAUGUCUGGGAAACUGCCUGAUGGAGGGGGAUAACUACUGGAAACGGUGGCUAAUACCGCAUAACGUCGCAAGACCAAAGAGGGGGACCUUCGGGCCUCUUGCCAUCAGAUGUGCCCAGAUGGGAUUAGCUAGUUGGUGAGGUAACGGCUCACCAAGGCGACGAUCCCUAGCUGGUCUGAGAGGAUG
This 305-nucleotide ribosomal RNA is filed under the name Salmonella enterica subsp. enterica serovar Senftenberg. RNAcentral describes it as "partial 16S ribosomal RNA". It matches the Rfam family "Bacterial small subunit ribosomal RNA", at positions 1 to 302 of the family's 1533-position model. Lineage: Bacteria; Pseudomonadati; Pseudomonadota; Gammaproteobacteria; Enterobacterales; Enterobacteriaceae. RNAcentral also lists the same sequence under 2 other names. The record is from RNAcentral.